Molecule: long non-coding RNA, 486 nt
Organism: Malus domestica (apple)
Lineage: Eukaryota; Viridiplantae; Streptophyta; Magnoliopsida; Rosales; Rosaceae
Source: RefSeq, a predicted model, not a curated record
UCCCUUCAUCAUUCAGUCUCACCUAUUCCAUCUUUUCUGUAUGUUCUGUCCCCCCUCUAUCAGAAAAAGCAAAGAAAAUUUCAAAACCUCACUCUCUUCUUUCUCUCUCUCCUGUGAACUCUCUCUUCCUCUGCAAAUCCAUGAGCGAGCUCCAAAGUUUGUAGAUCGAACAAACAAACUACAUCAUCAUGCUCAUCUCAGUCCCACGAUCACAACCAUGUCCUUGAAAUUUGGUGUGGACGAGUUUUGACUCACCAACUCGGAAGGUCGACUCGGCGAGUUCGACAUAUCGAUUUUCAAGCCAUGCAUGGCUUAGAAACUCGAGAAGAAGAAGAACUUGCCAUUUUUCACUCAAGAACCGUGGCCAUUUGGUCACUUUCAAACCAUUUUUCUAGUCAACCUCGACCAUAAAUGGACUUCUUCUAGGGGAAACUUAUUCCGAGGAUUUUCGAGGCCAAGCUAGGCUCGGGGGCUACGACUCAGCAA